RNAcentral lists this ribosomal RNA (253 nucleotides) under uncultured bacterium. RNAcentral describes it as "partial 16S ribosomal RNA". It matches the Rfam family "Bacterial small subunit ribosomal RNA", at positions 524 to 776 of the family's 1533-position model. The record is from RNAcentral.
UGCGUAGGUGGCAAGCGUUAUCCGGAAUUAUUGGGCGUAAAGCGCGCGUAGGCGGUUUUUUAAGUCUGAUGUGAAAGCCCACGGCUCAACCGUUGAGGGUCAUUGGAAACUGGAAAACUUGAGUGCAGAAGAGGAAAGUGGAAUUCCAUGUGUAGCGGUGAAAUGCGCAGAGAUAUGGAGGAACACCAGUGGCGAAGGCGACUUUCUGGUCUGUAACUGACGCUGAUGUGCGAAAGCGUGGGGAUCAAACAGG